GAGGCAGCAGCCAAGCAGCACCAAGUUGCUGUGUCAGCAGUGGGAUGUACCCUAGAAACUGCCUGGAGCUGAGCCAAGGAACUGAAAGGGACUGAGCAAGCAAAGUACAGAAAGAAUGAAGAAGGGAACUGAGGCAGCAGCCAAGCAGCACCGAGCUCCUCUACAACCAGG
Chiroxiphia lanceolata (lance-tailed manakin) is the source of this 171-nucleotide long non-coding RNA. RefSeq lists it as uncharacterized. The transcript is spliced from 2 exons. The record is from RefSeq and is a predicted model, not a curated record. Lineage: Eukaryota; Metazoa; Chordata; Aves; Passeriformes; Pipridae.